RNAcentral lists this long non-coding RNA (1760 nucleotides) under Junco hyemalis (dark-eyed junco). RNAcentral describes it as "lncRNA (ENSJHYG00000003677.1)". The record is from RNAcentral. Lineage: Eukaryota; Metazoa; Chordata; Aves; Passeriformes; Passerellidae.
CCCGGGUGCUGGGAUGUGCCCAGACCUGUCCUGGCCUGUCCCCGCGCUGGGACAGGCUCACAGGCUGAGCUGGCUUAGGCCGGGAUUAAAGGCACGCUCUGCAAUUAGAGGCACACCCGGCUCCUUCCGGCAUUCCCAGCCCCAUCUGCGCAGGGUUUGGAGAGAGGGAAUGCUGAGGGUGUUCAUCCCUAGUGUCCAAGGCCAUCUCUCUGCUUGUCAUUCCUUGGAAUAACAAAAAACCCAUUUCUCUAAUGCAUCAGGAUGUUUCCAUCCCUUUCUGGGGAGGGAAAUACACCUAGAAACUGUAGGAUCACAAGGAUUUCCAGGAAAGCAAAACAAGCGCGGAGAUGAGGGAGUAAGCUUCCAAUUUAAAAAUUAUUUCAUGGACAUAGGAAUGAUUCUUGUAUGUUUUACAACUCCCCUUUUUAUUCCUUGAAUAAUUUUAGAUUUUAUUUUCUUUUAACAAAUCAUCUAAAUUUGAGAGGAAACAAUAGAAAAUUAAUGCAGGGAGAGACUGUGGAAUCAUCCUGGAACGGUUUGGGCUGGAAGCCUCAUCUCUGAGCUCCUGUCCUUCAGCCACUCGCUGCAGGUGGACAUGGAAGUGAUGGAGAUGUGCAGGGAAUGCUGCUUGGUUUUCCCUGCCUCCGGCAAUCUGGCCAUUCAAAAGACUAAUUGACCUCUUCCAGCAGGGAAACAUUUAAACAAGAGGUCUCAAAAAGAAUUGGAGCGUCUGCACAAUGAAAUCUGCAAGAAUCCAACUUCAAAUCCCCCUGAAUUGUCACUGGUCCAACUUCCAUGGACUGGUCACUGUGGCCAGGAGUGUCCAGUCCUGCUGGAAAUGCACUGGACCAGGAUGUCAUUUUCAUUUGAUGCUGGUGAAGACCCUCUGGGUGACCCCCAGUGACUGGAAGGACCAGACUGGGCUCCCAGGGCACUAAUUGCAGGGGUUCUGUUCUUGGGAAUAGCACAGGAGCCUUUCCCUUGUCCAGAGGAGCAGCCAGUGUUUCCCUGUCUGGGACAAGGGAGGUGGAAAACACGCUGGGUCAGUGGAGAGGGGCCUCCAUGGGGAUGGGAGGCUCCCGCUGCCGUUCCCAUCUCCCUGCGGGCACGGAGGGCUGAUCCCGGACCAGGACAGGGCGAUGCUCCCGGCGCAUCCCGGGGCGAGCGGCCCCAAACGGGCCGGGCCUGCUCAGGUGCGCGGGGCGGGACCGGGGGAUUCAAACCCCGGAGCCGCCCCGGCCUCCUGGGCUCGUUCAGCGCUCGGUGCGGGAGCAGCGGCCGGGCCGGGCUCCUCCGGGGGUCCAAGAGCACCUUAACAUCCACCUUGAAGAGCAUCAGGAGGGAAGCAGGGAGACUGCAGAGAUGUAGGGGUGGAUCAUCCUGGAGAACCAUGAGUAGGGACAAUGCAUGCCAAGCCAGCCAUCUCCUGUUGUUUUUUCUUGCAAAGAAGAAACAGCUUCAGCCUUCAUCUCAGCUCCUGCCUGGAGGCUCCUGGGCUCCGGUUCCUUACUGUACUCCGGGCUCAGCACCAAAUCCAGGUGAUCUGCUGCAGGUGUGGCGUGAGGACACCCUGUUGGAACACUCGCUCUGGGUACCUCUCUCUGACCACAAAGGGCUCCUGGGUGAGGUCUGGCAGCUUUCCUGUAAGGAACACUUAUGGAUCUUACUAUUGCUGAUUUAAGGCAUGUCCAAAAGGUGAUUUUAAAUUCUUUUUCCCCUAAAAAAAUAAAAAUUUUCAGGAGGAGAUUGCUGAGCUUUUG